RNAcentral lists this ribosomal RNA (2613 nucleotides) under Sporobolomyces salmonicolor. Its description in RNAcentral is "bacterial LSU rRNA". The stretch from base 1 to 2348 matches the Rfam family "Bacterial large subunit ribosomal RNA". The record is from RNAcentral. Lineage: Eukaryota; Fungi; Basidiomycota; Microbotryomycetes; Sporidiobolales; Sporidiobolaceae.
AGGGAUUGUUAGGGAUGCCUAGCAAACAUAUCAGAGAAGAAGUGGAAACACUAAAUGCAUUAGUAUUUGUUAACUAAUGCGAUCUUGAGGGAAACCAUAUAUUUAUACUACAGACUGAACCGAAACAUCGUAGUAAGUCUAGGAAAGGAAAUCAACCGAGACCUUACAAGUAGUGGCGAACGAACGUAAGAUAGCCUAAGUGAUUUGUAAUAAACCUAAAACUCUGGAAAGGGUUAUGUCUAUAUGUCACCAUAGAAGGUAAAAGUCCUGUGGGUUUAUUAUCUCUCACUUUUCCUCUUUUUUUUGAAAAAAGUAGGGUAAAAACUUUUCAACAUUUAAUACUGUUCGAUUAUGUUUUUAAGUAGAGCGGAAUAAAACCUGCUCGAAAAUGGGGGUACCAUCCUCCAAGGCUAAGUAUGAUAUGUUUAGCGAUAGUGAAGAGUACUGUAAAGGAAAGGUUAAAAGCAAGUCGAUGACUGGUGAAAUAGAGCCUGAACUAGCAAUCCUAUAAGCAGACAGAGUAUUAAUUUAUAAUGUCGUACCUUUUGCAUAAUGGGUCAGCAACUUAAUAAUCUAGGCGAGACUAAAAGUCUAUAGCGCAAGCGACUGUCUAAUCUCUGCGCCCCUUUUUUGUAAUACAAAAAGGGGGCGCAAGAGAAGAUGGUAAUAUAGUCUAGGUUAUUAGACCCGAAACGACGUGAUCUAUCCAUGGACAGGAUUAUAGGUCCGAACAGGUGCACGUUGCAUAGUGCUCUGAUGAUCUGUGGAUAGGAGUGAAAUGCUAAUCUAACGUCGUGAUAGCUGGUUCUCUGCGAAAUGCAUUGCAGUGCAGCGUCUAAUUUGAACUUACGAAAGGUACAGCACUGAUUGACAUACCAUAAAGGUUGACUAGGGGGGUGUGAAAGCCCUAUCUAGGUCAGUUAACCUCGGAAUGUUCGUAAGUUUUUUUAGGCAGUGAGUCAUAGGGUGAUAAGGUCUUAUGACAAGAGGGAAACAGCCCAAACAAUGUGUUAAAGUCCCUAAGUUAUUGACAAGUGAAAUUAAGGAAGUGUACAACCUGAUACAACCAUUACGUGGGAUUGGAAGCGUCCAUCGUUUAUAGAAAGCGUAACAGCUCAGUGGUCUAGGUCGUAUGCGCCGAAGAUAUACCGGGUCUUAAUCAAUACACUAAUACCAUUGUAUGAUACCAUUUACAGGUGUCACUAAGUAGCAGAGCGUCCAGUAUCUAUGAAGAACAGUAUUUUAUUGUUUGGAGAUAACUGGAGUGAGGAUGCUGGCAUGAGUAGCAUAAAUGGAUGUUAAAUCAUCCACACCGAAAGAGAGAGGUUUCUGAGGGCAAGUUAGACUUCCUCAGGUUAUCAUUCAACUAUUUAUAUAGUUGAGUGGCGGUAUCUAAGGGACUAGCCAACGCGAAAUUCCGAUGAUUAUAUUGCAGAACGGUUACUGUGUUAAGAACAUAGAGAUCCAGGAAAAUAAUGCAAUCAUAGCUACCGUACCUAAACCGACACAGGUUCUCGGGUAGAGUAUACUAAGGUGACGGAAUAAUCAAAUUUAAGGAACUCGGCAAAAUGAUCUCGUACGUUCGACAAGAAGAGAUGCCCUUCUAUCAAUAUAGUUGGGUGACACAUAAUCGGGAAGUGAGACUGUUUACCUAAAACACAGCAGCCUGCUAACACUAAUUGUGGUCGUAUAGGUUGUGAUUCCUGUCCGGUGUCUCGUGAUAUGGUGAUUGAGGUUGUACUUCUGGUAUAGCCUUGAAACCUGAAGACGAGAUAAACGACGGUCUUAACUAUAAGGAUCCUAAGGUAGCGAAAUUCCUUGGCCGCUAAUUACGGUCCUGCAUCAAUGGAACAACUUUACUUCCGCUGUCUUAAAUUUGAGUCCGGUGAAAUUGAAUUAGCCGUGCAGAUGCGGUUUACCACCAGUUAGACGGGAAGACCCUAUGCAACUUUACUAUAGUCAGAUAUUGUGUUAAUCUAACAUUUGUCACAGUUAUGAGGUAGCUGAUAUAGCGCAAGUGAGAGACCUCAACAAAUUUUAGAUGCACUUACCUUGAUUUUCAAGGGAACGUGUCUGAUGGGUAGUUUUUCUGGGACGGAACCCUCCAAGAUAUCAUCGGAGGGGUCCAAUAGGUACACACAGCUUAGACGGGGACUAAGUGGUCAUGUAAGACCAAUAACAGCAUAAUGGCUUAAAGUGUGCUAAACUGAAUGACUGACGGGUCUAUCAGGUACGUAAGUAGGGCAUAGUGAACCGAUAAUAUGUUAUGGUACAGUUAUCGUUCAACGGAUAAGUUACGCUAGGGAUAAAUUUUGUUGUCCCUAUCUAGAUUCUUUUGGUUGCGCGAAAGAGUUCAUAGAAUCUUUUAUAGAGCUAUGUAAAAUAUCUAGAUAAACCGGGUGAAUUGCAAGAACGACUCUGAAUCAGGAGUUAAUUUGCAACGAAGACUUUCACCGUGACAUCUUAGGAUGUGUGGAAGUAACGCUCAACGACUAAGGAGUGAGUAGCACGAACAAUAAUCUCCACACGAGCACCCGGCGAUAUUUAACCUUUACCUUUACUAACUAGUAAUUAGAGUAUAGAAUAUCGAUGACAUAGUCUAAACAAUAUUGU